ACGCUCGACACCUACGGGAGGCAGCAGUGGGGAAUAUUGCACAAUGGGGGGAACCCUGAUGCAGCGACGCCGCGUGAGUGAAGAAGUACUUCGGUAUGUAAAGCUCUAUCAGCAGGGAAGAAAAUGACGGUACCUGACUAAGAAGCCCCGGCUAACUACGUACCAGCAGCCGCGGUAAUCUGAGCGGGCUGGCAAGGC
This 198-nucleotide ribosomal RNA is filed under the name uncultured bacterium. Its description in RNAcentral is "partial 16S ribosomal RNA". It matches the Rfam family "Bacterial small subunit ribosomal RNA", at positions 328 to 539 of the family's 1533-position model. The record is from RNAcentral.